Molecule: ribosomal RNA, 422 nt
Filed under: uncultured Clostridium sp.
Lineage: Bacteria; Bacillati; Bacillota; Clostridia; Eubacteriales; Clostridiaceae
Description: bacterial SSU rRNA
Rfam family: Bacterial small subunit ribosomal RNA
Source: RNAcentral
UGGGGAAUAUUGCACAAUGGAGGAAACUCUGAUGCAGCAACGCCGCGUGAGUGAAGAAGUAUCUCGGUAUGUAAAGCUCUAUCAGCAGGGAAGAAAAUGACGGUACCUGACUAAGAAGCCCCGGCUAACUACGUGCCAGCAGCCGCGGUAAUACGUAGGGAGCAAGCGUUAUCCGGAAUUACUGGGUGUAAAGGGAGUGUAGGCGGGACUGUAAGUCAGAUGUGAAAUAUGCCGGCUCAACUGGCAGACUGCAUUUGAAACUGUGGUUCUUGAGUGAAGUAGAGGUAAGCGGAAUUCCUGGUGUAGCGGUGAAAUGCGUAGAUAUCGGGAGGAACAUCAGUGGCGAAGGCGGCUUACUGGGCUUUAACUGACGCUGAGGCUCGAAAGCGUGGGGAGCAAACAGGAUUAGAUACCCUGGUAGU